UUGAAGCGCAGCCAUCUCCAACGGCCUUUGGGAAGCAUACCUAGGACGCAUGGAGGGAAAAGGUGAGGGGCUGGCUCCCCUGGCCACGGCGCCCCGGCCACCUCCUUUAACACCUCAGGAUCACGUACCGAGCCACCAGGUUCCACGCCUGGCUCUCUGGACGGCAGCAGCCAAACUGAGCAUGUGCGAAAUGCUGCUGCGCUGAGCUCUGCGGCUCGGGGGCUCGGGUCUCCGCCUGUUCCGCGCACUGAGUCGGAAAAAGCCGCGAGUGCAAGGGCGCUUCCCUUCCGCCUUCCCAAGAGCCGCUUCCGCGAGGAUCUCUGAAGCCCAAGCUUCUCGCAGAAGCUGCUCGCCGCCAUGACAGGGCAGAAAUUGAAGGCACGUAAUUUGGAAACCAUACCAGCUUUGAAAUAAAAAGUACACCCUGCGUUGCAGUGUUAUUGUGAGAAAUGAAUGAGUCAGUGCAUGUAAAGUGCUUACAAGAGUGACCAGCACGUCGCCGUCAUCACCAUCAUCAUCCGUGUUCAGUUCUUGCUGUGAGACGCUGGAAGGAUGGAGCUGUCAUCUACUGAGAGAGGGAAGACCGUGUGAAGAGCAGGUUCAAGCUGAUAGGUUAAGGUUGACAGGACUGAAACAACUGUGUGCUGUCAAGCAGGUACUUGGUCACACAAGUCUGGGGUUAAGGAGAGGGGACAUCUGUGUAAAGAUAGUUUAAAACCAUGAAAUUGGAGGAGAUCUCUAAGGGAGUGUAUAUAUAGGACGAAGGACUAGGCUGGGGGCCAUCCAGUAUUUAAGUAUGAGGAUGCAAAGACGAACUAUCAAAGAAGACAGAAGAAUGACCAAAGAGUUUGGCAUCCUGGAAGCCAAGUGAAGG
Long non-coding RNA from Ailuropoda melanoleuca (giant panda), 874 nucleotides. RefSeq lists it as uncharacterized. The transcript has 3 exons. The record is from RefSeq and is a predicted model, not a curated record. NCBI's taxonomy places the organism in Eukaryota, Metazoa, Chordata, Mammalia, Carnivora, Ursidae.